GAAAGCCGUGCGCAAUGAAAAAUGCAAGCACGGUUUGGGGAAAGGUUAUUUUUUUAUUUUUUUAUUUUUUUUAACAGGGAAAUUAUCUACUCCAU
Molecule: non-coding RNA, 95 nt
Organism: Spinacia oleracea (spinach)
Lineage: Eukaryota; Viridiplantae; Streptophyta; Magnoliopsida; Caryophyllales; Amaranthaceae
Source: Rfam